UUAAGCCAAUAUAAUUAAUUCCUUGAGAUAUUCUCGUCCCUAGAUUUUGUUCAGAGAAAUGAAAACUUAUUAGAGCCCCAGCUGUUAUGAAAUAAUAAACAAAUAUGAUCUUACCGUCCAGCAACUGUUUUAAAUCCUUAGGAAGAAAUCCAAGAGGAACAAAUUAUUGUGCGGUUAAAUUAUAACCACAGUUUUUUUUAAUUCACAGGAGAGACUACAAGAAAGAAUUUCAGAACAUUUGACACAUGUUUUUUAGGGAGAUUGAGUUAUUCACUGUUCCAGGGGAAAAAGGGAAAUGAAGAGAUUGAAAUUAAGAAUAAUCCGAACGACAGCCUUACAUAACUUAUAUUAAGAAAAAAGUGUUAAAAGAGUUUAUCGGUGAUUAAUUGACGAAGACGAACCUUUCUCCUAAUCCGUAACGACGAGUCGAAUUUGCUGAAAUGCAUCGUUGAUAAUCUAGAAUUUUCUUGCCAUUUCGAAUCUCCUACGUUAGGGAGAAAGAGGGAAGACACUGGAAAAUUUCUUUGAAAAUCUAAUAAUAGACAGAAAAAAACCAACGA
Cimex lectularius (bed bug) is the source of this 560-nucleotide long non-coding RNA. RefSeq lists it as uncharacterized. The transcript is spliced from 2 exons. The record is from RefSeq and is a predicted model, not a curated record. NCBI's taxonomy places the organism in Eukaryota, Metazoa, Arthropoda, Insecta, Hemiptera, Cimicidae.